RNAcentral lists this ribosomal RNA (347 nucleotides) under uncultured bacterium. RNAcentral's name for it is "bacterial SSU rRNA". It matches the Rfam family "Bacterial small subunit ribosomal RNA", at positions 28 to 373 of the family's 1533-position model. The record is from RNAcentral.
GAUGAACGCUAGCGGCAGGCUUAAUACAUGCAAGUCGAGGGGCGAGCACGGUUAGCAAUAACUGGUGGCGACCGGCGCACGGGUGCGUAACACGUAUACAAUCUACCUUAAACAGGGGGAUAGCCUUUCGAAAGAGAGAUUAAUACCCCGUAAUAAAUUGAACGGCAUCGUUUGAUUUUGAAAGCUCCGGCGGUUUGAGAUGAGUAUGCGUCUGAUUAGCUAGUUGGUGAGGUAACGGCUCACCAAGGCGACGAUCAGUAGGGGAUCUGAGAGGACUAACCCCCACACUGGUACUGAGACACGGACCAGACUCCUACGGAGGCAGCAGUAAGGAAAGUAUUAGGUUC